UACGUAGGGGGCAAGCGUUAUCCGGAUUUACUGGGUGUAAAGGGAGCGCAGGCGGCGUGGCAAGUCAGAUGUGAAAACCCGGGGCCCAACCCCGGGAGUGCAUUUGAAACUGUGUGACUGGAGUGCAGGAGAGGUAAGCGGAAUUCCUGGUGUAGCGGUGAAAUGCGUAGAUAUCAGGAGGAACACCAGUGGCGAAGGCGGCUUACUGGACUGUAACUGACGUUGAGGCUCGAAAGCGUGGGGAGCAAACAGG
Molecule: ribosomal RNA, 253 nt
Filed under: uncultured Eubacteriales bacterium
Lineage: Bacteria; Bacillati; Bacillota; Clostridia; Eubacteriales
Description: uncultured Clostridiales bacterium partial 16S ribosomal RNA
Rfam family: Bacterial small subunit ribosomal RNA
Source: RNAcentral